GCGGCAUGCCUAAUACAUGCAAGUCGUGCGAGAAACUACUUACGGGUAGUGGAAAGCGGCGGACGGGUGAGUAACGCGUAGAAACAUACCCCAAGGUGAGGGAUAAGCAUCGGAAACGGUGUCUAAUACCGCAUACUGUCUACGGACAAAAGAUUUAUCGCCAUGGGAAUGGUCUGCGUCUGAUUAGCUAGUUGGUAGGGUAAAGGCCUACCAAGGCGAUGAUCAGUAGCUGGUUUGAGAGGAUGAUCAGCCACACUGGGACUGAGACACGGCCCAGACUCCUACGGGAGGCAGCAGUGGGGAAUAUUGGACAAUGGGCGCAAGCCUGAUCCAGCCAUGCCGCGUGAGUGAUGAAGGCCUUAGGGUUGUAAAGCUCUUUUGUCCGGGAAGAUAAUGACUGUACCGGAAGAAUAAGCCCCGGCUAACUUCGUGCCAGCAGCCGCCGCUG
RNAcentral lists this ribosomal RNA (448 nucleotides) under uncultured bacterium. RNAcentral's name for it is "partial 16S ribosomal RNA". It matches the Rfam family "Bacterial small subunit ribosomal RNA", at positions 39 to 523 of the family's 1533-position model. The record is from RNAcentral.